Molecule: ribosomal RNA, 344 nt
Filed under: Staphylococcus aureus
Lineage: Bacteria; Bacillati; Bacillota; Bacilli; Caryophanales; Staphylococcaceae
Description: partial 23S ribosomal RNA
Rfam family: Bacterial large subunit ribosomal RNA
Source: RNAcentral
UGAUAAGGUCCGUGUUCGAAAGGGAAACAGCCCAGACCACCAGCUAAGGUCCCAAAAUAUAUGUUAAGUGGAAAAGGAUGUGGCGUUGCCCAGACAACUAGGAUGUUGGCUUAGAAGCAGCCAUCAUUUAAAGAGUGCGUAAUAGCUCACUAGUCGAGUGACACUGCGCCGAAAAUGUACCGGGGCUAAACAUAUUACCGAAGCUGUGGAUUGUCCUUUGGACAAUGGUAGGAGAGCGUUCUAAGGGCGUUGAAGCAUGAUCGUAAGGACAUGUGGAGCGCUUAGAAGUGAGAAUGCCGGUGUGAGUAGCGAAAGACGGGUGAGAAUCCCGUCCACCGAUUGAC